This is a long non-coding RNA of Magnolia sinica, 1319 nucleotides long. RefSeq lists it as uncharacterized. The transcript has 2 exons. The record is from RefSeq and is a predicted model, not a curated record. NCBI's taxonomy places the organism in Eukaryota, Viridiplantae, Streptophyta, Magnoliopsida, Magnoliales, Magnoliaceae.
UUAUGAAUAUCUCUAUAUGGAUUUUUGUUUAUUCCUGCAGUAAUAUCAUUGUUUUUUUUUUCUUCCCAGUUAUAAAAGCAUUAUUCUUGUUGGAAAUGACACACAGUGUACAUAGUCACUUGUAUUCUCAUCUUUUGUAACCAACUGUACUGAUCUCUUUGUAGUUGAGCUUUAUUAUAAAUAAGAGGCUAAGGAAGAGGCAUGGUUUGAAAAAUCAUCCAAUAUGACGCGGUCGGUUUUGGUCCCCAAACGAAACGAGUCACUGAACUGAUAUGGGACUGAACUGAGUUAAGGGGAGUCAUUACCAAGGCGAGUUACACUCCAAACCUGCUACUUAAAUCCAUAUGGCCCCUUUUCUUCCCAUUCUCACUUUUCUCCAUUUUCCCUUUUCCUACCAUGAAUAAAAACAUGAUAUCUGAGUGGGAUGCAAGGGGAAUCUGAUCAGCUCCUCCUCCUUCCCUUCUUCAUCCUUUCUUGUUCUCCUUGUCCUUCUCUCUUUUCUUCCUUUUCUAUUUCUUUUCAGCAAGUUGUAGGUUCCACCUGCAGGCAGCAGUGGGCCCCACAACGCCAAUAACCUGAUCAGCAGGCUCCAUAGGGCCUACCACCCUGACCGGCUAGCCUCAAUGUGACCUGCAGGUGUCUUCUUAGAUUCGAUAUAGUUUCCAGUGGUCGGAUUUGCUAUUGAACUUGUCGUUUUGAGCCUUUUUUUGGCACCUUGUUGUUUUGAGUAUAUUUUCUGAUGACUAGAUUUGGCACUGAACUCAUCAAACCAUUGCUUGUUGUUUGCAGCCUGCCCAUUCCAUUUGCAAGAGCAAAUUUUUGACAGACCAAAAUCAUCUUGCAAAUCUCACCUGUUCAUAUCCUCCUACCUGACCAGAUUGUGUGAAACUUCUAUUGGCAGGUUGCUGUUGCUCUGGUGGACCCAAAUUUCUCAGUAUAUCCUAGGUUCAUUAAUUCAUGUCAAAGCUGAUGACUGGAUAACCUCCUCUAUGCUUGGCAUGGUGCUUGUUUCGGAAAGACAAAGAAGAUGCUUUGGAGGUUGUUUGUCUCUUUUGGCAGUUUGGUGGGCAGUUUGGGAGGAAAUAAAUUCGAGGUGCUUCACUAACGACUUGAAGUCGAUGGAGCAAACCUCCCAGAGGGCAAGCCUUCUCGUGAUUGAUUGAGCUUCCGGUCUUUCAAGUCUUAAGUUAAGGGAUGUAAUUUUCUUUUUCUUGGGAUGUAGCCAAGUUGCCGCCUCUGCCUGCUAUCUGUUUUGCUGUUUUCUUUUGUCUCCUUUCAUAAAAGUUCGUUACCUUUGCCAAAAAAAAUAAAAAUAAAAA